Molecule: signal recognition particle RNA, 298 nt
Filed under: Otolemur garnettii (small-eared galago)
Lineage: Eukaryota; Metazoa; Chordata; Mammalia; Primates; Galagidae
Description: Metazoan signal recognition particle RNA
Rfam family: Metazoan signal recognition particle RNA
About the family: The signal recognition particle (SRP) is a universally conserved ribonucleoprotein. It is involved in the co-translational targeting of proteins to membranes.
Source: Rfam by way of RNAcentral
GCUGGAUGCUGCAGCAUGCACCUACAGUUCCAGCUACUUGAGAGGCUGAGGCAGGAGGAUGGCAGCUUGAACCCAGGUGUUCUGGGCCGCAGUUUGUUAUACUUAUUGGGUAUCCCUGCUAAGUACAACAUCAACAUGGUGACCUUCCAGGGGCAGAAGACUACCUAACCAGGUUGCCUAAGGAGAGGUAAACCAACUCAGGUCAGAAUGGAGUAGGUCAAAACUCCAUGGUGAUCAGUAGUGGGAUUGAGCCUGUGAAUACCCACUGCCCGAGCAACAUAGCAAGACCCCAUCUCUC